Camellia sinensis is the source of this 321-nucleotide non-coding RNA. NCBI's taxonomy places the organism in Eukaryota, Viridiplantae, Streptophyta, Magnoliopsida, Ericales, Theaceae. The record is from RefSeq and is a predicted model, not a curated record.
AACAAAUGUCUAGUUUCUAAUUGUUUCAAUUUGUCCCAUGGUCUUUCAUUGCAGCAACUGGCCCACGUUUCCACAGAUAUUCAUCAAGGGGAGUUUGUUGGAGGAUCAGACAUCAUUCUCAACAUGCACCAGACUGGCGAGUUGAAGGAAAUGCUUAAAGAUAUUGCAGCCAACCAGGAGAAUUAAGAGUAAGUUUAUCAUUACUGAACAUGUAGAGUCACCAAGGAAUAUAGUUAUCUUUGAUGAUGAAGAAUUAUGGGAUAUAAGCACGUUCAGCUUUGAAUGUUUGUUGACUUGAUCCAAUAAUGUUUAGUUAAAGUA